AGCCUGAUCCAGCCAUGCCGCGUGUGUGAAGAAGGCUUUCGGGUUGUAAAGCACUUUCAGUGGGGAAGAAGGCCUGGCGGUUAAUACCCGCCAGGGACGACAUCACCCACAGAAGAAGCACCGGCUAACUCCGUGCCAGCAGCCGCGGUAAUACGGAGGGUGCGAGCGUUAAUCGGAAUUACUGGGCGUAAAGCGCGCGUAGGCGGCUUGAUAAGCCGGGUGUGAAAGCCCUGGGCUCAACCUGGGAACGGCAUCCGGAACUGUCAAGCUAGAGUGCAGGAGAGGAAGGUAGAAUUCCCGGUGUAGCGGUGAAAUGCGUAGAGAUCGGGAGGAAUACCAGUGGCGAAGGCGGCCUUCUGGACUGACACUGACGCUGAGGUGCGAAAGCGUGGGUAGCAAACAGGAUUAGAUACCCUGGUAGUCCACGCCGUAAACGAUGUCGACUAGCCGUUGGGCUCCUCGCGAGCUUAGUGGCGCAGUUAACGCGAUAAGUCGACCGCCUGG
This 504-nucleotide ribosomal RNA is filed under the name Halomonas sp. SIJ4. RNAcentral describes it as "bacterial SSU rRNA". It matches the Rfam family "Bacterial small subunit ribosomal RNA", at positions 380 to 876 of the family's 1533-position model. RNAcentral also lists the same sequence under 1 other name. Lineage: Bacteria; Pseudomonadati; Pseudomonadota; Gammaproteobacteria; Oceanospirillales; Halomonadaceae. The record is from RNAcentral.